Molecule: ribosomal RNA, 425 nt
Filed under: uncultured bacterium
Lineage: Bacteria
Description: bacterial SSU rRNA
Rfam family: Bacterial small subunit ribosomal RNA
Source: RNAcentral
GGGAAUUUUGCACAAUGGGCGCAAGCCUGAUGCAGCAACGCCGCGUGAGUGAAGAAGGCUCUUGGGUUGUAAAGCUCUUUCGGCUGGAAAGAAGGGGUAGCCUGCGAACAGUUGGCUAUUCUGACGGUACCAGAAGAAGAAGCACCUGCUAACUUCGUGCCAGCAGCAGCGGUAAUACGAAGGGUGCAAGCGUUGUUCGGAAUUACUGGGCGUAAAGCGCGCGUAGGCGGGUCGGUUAGUCGAUUGUGAAAGCCCUGGGCUCAACCCGGGAAUGGCAGUCGAAACUACCGAUCUUGAGUGCCUGAGAGGAUGGCGGAAUUCCCGGUGUAGUAGUGAAAUACGUAGAUAUCGGGAAGAACACCUGAGGCGAAGGCGGCUAUCUGGCGGUGCACUGACGCUAAGGCGCGAAAGCGUGGGGAGCAAAC